This 789-nucleotide ribosomal RNA is filed under the name Methanoculleus sp. enrichment culture clone HA1_26. RNAcentral's name for it is "bacterial SSU rRNA". It matches the Rfam family "Archaeal small subunit ribosomal RNA", at positions 85 to 879 of the family's 1478-position model. The record is from RNAcentral. Lineage: Archaea; Methanobacteriati; Methanobacteriota; Methanomicrobia; Methanomicrobiales; Methanomicrobiaceae.
ACGGCUCAGUAACACGUGGAUAACCUGCCCUAAGGAAGGGGAUAACCUCGGGAAACUGAGGAUAAUACCCUAUAGGUUACAGACGCUGGAAUGCCCUGUAACCGAAAGUUCCGGCGCCUUAGGAUGGAUCUGCGGCCGAUUAGGUUGUUGUUGGGGUAACGGCCCAACAAGCCGAUAAUCGGUACGGGUUGUGGGAGCAAGAGCCCGGAGUUGGAUUCUGAGACAUGAAUCCAGGCCCUACGGGGCGCAGCAGGCGCGAAAACUUUACAAUGCGGGAAACCGUGAUAAGGGAACCCCGAGUGCCUGUAUAUGCAGGCUGUCCAGGUGUCUAAAAAACACCUGAAGAAAGGGCCGGGCAAGACCGGUGCCAGCCGCCGCGGUAAUACCGGCGGCUCGAGUGGUGGCCACUUUUAUUGGGCUUAAAGCGUUCGUAGCUGGGUUGUUAAGUCUCUUAGGAAAUCUGACGGCUCAACCGUCAGGCGUCCAAGGGAUACUGGCAAUCUUGGAACCGGGAGAGGUGAGGGGUACUUCGGGGGUAGGAGUGAAAUCCUGUAAUCCUCGAGGGACCACCUGUGGCGAAGGCGCCUCACCAGAACGGCUUCGACAGUGAGGGACGAAAGCUGGGGGAGCAAACCGGAUUAGAUACCCGGGUAGUCCCAGCCGUAAACGAUGCGCGUUAGGUGUAUCGGUGACCACGAGUCACCGAGGUGCCGAAGGGAAACCGUGAAACGUGCCGCCUGGGAAGUACGGUCGCAAGGCUGAAACUUAAAGGAAUUGGCGGGGGAGCAC